CGGACGGGUGAGUAACACGUGGAUAACCUACCUAUAAGACUGGGAUAACUUCGGGAAACCGGAGCUAAUACCGGAUAAUAUAUUGAACCGCAUGGUUCAAUAGUGAAAGACGGUUUUGCUGUCACUUAUAGAUGGAUCCGCGCCGCAUUAGCUAGUUGGUAAGGUAACGGCUUACCAAGGCAACGAUGCGUAGCCGACCUGAGAGGGUGAUCGGCCACACUGGAACUGAGACACGGUCCAGACUGCUACGGGAGGCAGCAGAC
Molecule: ribosomal RNA, 263 nt
Filed under: uncultured Staphylococcus sp.
Lineage: Bacteria; Bacillati; Bacillota; Bacilli; Caryophanales; Staphylococcaceae
Description: partial 16S ribosomal RNA
Rfam family: Bacterial small subunit ribosomal RNA
Source: RNAcentral